UACGAAGGGGGCUAGCGUUGCUCGGAAUCACUGGGCGUAAAGGGUGCGUAGGCGGGUCUUUAAGUCAGGGGGGAAAUCCUGGAGCUCAACUCCAGAACUGCCUUUGAUACUGAAGAUCUUGAGUUCGGGAGAGGUGAGUGGAACUGCGAGUGUAGAGGUGAAAUUCGUAGAUAUUCGCAAGAACACCAGUGGCGAAGGCGGCUCACUGGCCCGAUACUGACGCUGAGGCCCGAAAGCGUGGGGAGCAAACGGG
RNAcentral lists this ribosomal RNA (253 nucleotides) under uncultured bacterium. RNAcentral's name for it is "partial 16S ribosomal RNA". It matches the Rfam family "Bacterial small subunit ribosomal RNA", at positions 524 to 776 of the family's 1533-position model. The record is from RNAcentral.